Thamnophis sirtalis is the source of this 242-nucleotide non-coding RNA. NCBI's taxonomy places the organism in Eukaryota, Metazoa, Chordata, Lepidosauria, Squamata, Natricidae. The record is from RefSeq and is a predicted model, not a curated record.
CAAGUCCUUUGCAAUGGAGAUCAGAGAUCCUGAGACAAAGAGGCAUCUGUCAAAUCUCCCUCAAGAACUGUCUUUCAGGGGGAUCCCUCAGGAAGAUCCAAUUCAGGACACCUCAGGAGGGAAGAAUAGAAGGAAGUCGACUCUUUGUUUUGGGGGAGCAGAAACUAGGAUUGAACCUCCAAGUCAGGAGGUUUUUCUGUCCUUUGAGGAGGUGGCUGUUUAUUUCUCUGAGGAGGAGUGGU